CGGCAGGCAGACAUUCUGGAGACCAAAGGGGCGAUUGUAGUAUUAUUUUAAGAACUAAAACUUCCCAGAGCCCCAAAAUGUUCUGAGGACCUUCAAAGAAAGCUGUUUUUGUCCUUUGAAGGUUUGGCCAGUGUUUGACCUUCUCGCUGAAUCGUCCAAUUUCUUUCAAAGGACACAAUUGGGAACCUUGAUUAUUACCAAAGCUUUGACCGGAAUGUUAUAUUUGAGAGAAACAUAAAGAUUCAGAUAUGACAAGACAGCUUUUGAGGAACAAAGAUUGGACUCUAUGAAAUAAAUCCAUUUGGAAAUAUUAGUCUGUUACCUUGUUUACAGGGUUCCCAGCAACCUUACCAGGAAUGUGAUGACCCCCAGGCAGCGAGUCUAUGCUGAUAGCCAUCAUCAAUGACAACUAAAAAAGCAAGGUAUAGGGCAUUACUCCAGUCUCUGAUGCAUAGCCAGUAAAACAAGACUAUCAGGAAAUAAGACCAGAUGUCUGCUCCCACCUGGAGAUCAGAUGGUUCCCCUCACUGGGAGAUCAGAUGCCUCUCCCACCCAGAGACCAGUCCCCAAUAUAACUGGCCUGUAGUCUUUGUUCUGUAAGAUGGUUCCUUCACACAUUUUGUUGGCCACCUUUCCCCUUGCUUGCAAGCUGUAAUAAAUCCCUUUCUCUCCUACCACCUUGCCUCUCAACUAUGGCAUGUCUUGAGGUGGGCAGACAACCCCCCUUGGAUGAUAACAUCCAUGCAGUUGCCCCUGAAGCUGAUUCACACAGGACUUCCUUCCACAAUGCCUUCCUCAUGUAACAAAAGCAGAGCUUGUGCCUCACAUGCCCAGAUGUAUAAAAGAAUGUAAAAGAC
This 857-nucleotide long non-coding RNA is filed under the name Equus caballus (horse). RNAcentral describes it as "lncRNA (ENSECAG00000045985.1)". Lineage: Eukaryota; Metazoa; Chordata; Mammalia; Perissodactyla; Equidae. The record is from RNAcentral.